UUAAAGAAAAUUUUUGGCUUUGGGAGCCAAAGAUAAGGGUUUGUCUCCCUUUCUCUUGA
Molecule: transfer RNA, 59 nt
Filed under: Mobula tarapacana (Chilean devil ray)
Lineage: Eukaryota; Metazoa; Chordata; Chondrichthyes; Myliobatiformes; Myliobatidae
Description: partial tRNA-Pro
Rfam family: tRNA
About the family: Transfer RNA (tRNA) molecules are approximately 80 nucleotides in length.
Source: RNAcentral